This 484-nucleotide ribosomal RNA is filed under the name uncultured bacterium. Its description in RNAcentral is "partial 16S ribosomal RNA". It matches the Rfam family "Bacterial small subunit ribosomal RNA", at positions 29 to 507 of the family's 1533-position model. The record is from RNAcentral.
AUUGAACGCUGGCGGCAUGCUUUACACAUGCAAGUCGAACGGCAGCGCGGGCUUCGGCCUGGCGGCGAGUGGCGAACGGGUGAGUAAUACAUCGGAACGUGCCCAGUAGUGGGGGAUAGCUCGGCGAAAGCUGGAUUAAUACCGCAUACGACCUGAGGGUGAAAGCGGGGGAUCUUCGGACCUCGCGCUAUUGGAGCGGCCGAUGGCAGAUUAGCUAGUUGGUGGGGUAAAGGCCUACCAAGGCGACGAUCUGUAGCUGGUCUGAGAGGACGACCAGCCACACUGGGACUGAGACACGGCCCAGACUCCUACGGGAGGCAGCAGUGGGGAAUUUUGGACAAUGGGCGAAAGCCUGAUCCAGCAAUGCCGCGUGUGUGAUGAAGGCCUUCGGGUUGUAAAGCACUUUUGGCGGGAACGAAAAGGACUGUGCCAAUACCACGGUUCGGUGACGGUACCCGCAGAAUAAGCACCGGCUAACUACGUG